Molecule: small RNA, 701 nt
Filed under: Pan troglodytes (chimpanzee)
Lineage: Eukaryota; Metazoa; Chordata; Mammalia; Primates; Hominidae
Description: processed transcript
Source: RNAcentral
ACGUUGCCACUGCAUUUGUGACCGAGCACUUGGAUCUGUCUCGCAUAUCCCACCUGGAAGGGGCAGGAGGAUCGCGUGGGUCCCCAGCUGAUCCGUGCUAUGAGGCAGGGCCUGGCCAUCCUGCCCUCAGACCGGGAUACUCGAGCUGGCCUUACCCAGGCAUCUCUCCCUCUUCCCCGCAGCCGAGGCCUGCCUGGAGCCCCAGAUCACCCCUUCCUACUACACCACUUCUGACGCUGUCAUUUCCACUGAGACCGUCUUCAUUGUGGAGAUCUCCCUGACAUGCAAGAACAGGGUCCAGAACAUGGCUCUCUAUGCUGACGUCGGUGGAAAACAAUUCCCUGUCACUCGAGGCCAGGAUGUGGGGCGUUAUCAGGUGUCCUGGAGCCUGGACCACAAGAGCGCCCAUGCAGGCACCUAUGAGGUUAGAUUCUUCGACGAGGAGUCCUACAGCCUCCUCAGGAAGGCUCAGAGGAAUAACGAGGACAUUUCCAUCAUCCCGCCUCUGUUUACAGUCAGCGUGGACCAUCGGGGCACUUGGAACGGGCCCUGGGUGUCCACUGAGGUGCUGGCUGCGGCGAUCGGCCUUGUGAUCUACUACUUGGCCUUCAGUGCGAAGAGCCACAUCCAGGCCUGACGGCGGCACCCCAGCCCUGCCCUUGCUUCCUUCAAUAAACAUCACAGGACCUGGGACUGCACAG